This 450-nucleotide ribosomal RNA is filed under the name uncultured Glomeromycotina. Its description in RNAcentral is "SSU rRNA". It matches the Rfam family "Eukaryotic small subunit ribosomal RNA", at positions 569 to 1027 of the family's 1831-position model. Lineage: Eukaryota; Fungi; Glomeromycota. The record is from RNAcentral.
AGCAGCCGCGGUAAUUCCAGCUCCAAUAGCGUAUAUUAAAGUUGUUGCAGUUAAAAAGCUCGUAGUUGAAUUUCGGGGUUCUACCGUUGGUCGGGCUUUGUCUGUACUGGCGUGUGGAAUUUCUACCUUCUGGGGAACUAUCAUGUUAUUCAUUUAACGUGGUGGGAAACCAGGACCUUUACCUUGAAAAAAUUAGAGUGUUCAAAGCAGGCUUGUGUCUGAAUACAUUAGCAUGGAAUAAUAAAAUAGGACGGUGGUCCUGUUUUGUUGGUUUCUGAAUCACCGUAAUGAUUAAUAGGGAUAGUUGGGGGCAUUAGUAUUCAAUUGUCAGAGGUGAAAUUCUUGGAUUUAUUGAAGACUAACUUCUGCGAAAGCAUUUGCCAAGGAUGUUUUCAUUAAUCAAGAACGAAAGUUAGGGGAUCGAAGACGAUCAGAUACCGUCGUAGUCUU